RNAcentral lists this unclassified non-coding RNA (741 nucleotides) under Hevea brasiliensis (rubber tree). Lineage: Eukaryota; Viridiplantae; Streptophyta; Magnoliopsida; Malpighiales; Euphorbiaceae. The record is from RNAcentral.
GUGUAUUUGUUUUUUUUAUUGUACCUUUGUCAAGGUUAGAUGGCUAAUAAAGUAAAUUCCAUUGAGAUUGGGAAACCAUUUCCAUGCUAUUUUUGGGCGUUCUGGUUGUGUUUUCUAAUGGUGGCUCUUUCUGUAUGUGGAUAGAACGGUUUGCAGAUUGUUAGAAGUAUAUCUAGUGUAAGGUGGAACUGGGAUUGGAGCUGUGUUUUUCUUUUUCAGAAUGUGUGCAUUAGGAUUGUGGCUGCUGGAGAAUAUGGCAUUCAAUUGUAUUAAUCUGGUAGCUUUUCUCUGUAGCUUAUGCUCAGCUUGUGAAUGGAGAUUGGAAUGAAUUAGACAGGCGGUGGAAUGGUGUCUGGCGCUUGCAGGGAAUAAAGAAGGUGCUGACCUUGUUAUUUAUUCCUGAUCGGUUAUAGGGUAAUGGGAAUUGUUAAGCUCCUACAGUUAAUUGUGCCAACUGCCAGAGAUGGGACCAUUAUUCAUGUUUUGAGAUGGUUGUCUUGCCAUCCAAUUUUCAGGACCUCGUUCAAACGCAAACUGCUUGUCUGGUCUUGAUCAAGACUAACGUUAAAGAUUUGGUGUUCUGGAACAAGGGUGUUUUCUCUUUUGAUUGAUCAAGCUGGAAAGAUUGGAGCAGACUAUGCUGUGGCAUUGAUUGCUGGUUGAAUGCGUCAUUGGGUAUUAGCUAUUGAGAGUUGGAAUUUGUUGCUAUGAUGAAGUAAUUAGUGACUUCUGUUAAUGGAA